UAAGGUAAGGAGGUGAUCCAACCGCAGGUUCCCCUACGGUUACCUUGUUACGACUUCACCCCAGUCAUGAAUCACAAAGUGGUAAGCGCCCUCCCGAAGGUUAAGCUACCUACUUCUUUUGCAACCCACUCCCAUGGUGUGACGGGCGGUGUGUACAAGGCCCGGGAACGUAUUCACCGUAGCAUUCUGAUCUACGAUUACUAGCGAUUCCGACUUCAUGGAGUCGAGUUGCAGACUCCAAUCCGGACUACGACAUACUUUAUGAGGUCCGCUUGCUCUCGCGAGGUCGCUUCUCUUUGUAUAUGCCAUUGUAGCACGUGUGUAGCCCUGGUCGUAAGGGCCAUGAUGACUUGACGUCAUCCCCACCUUCCUCCAGUUUAUCACUGGCAGUCUCCUUUGAGUUCCCGGCCGGACCGCUGGCAACAAAGGAUAAGGGUUGCGCUCGUUGCGGGACUUAACCCAACAUUUCACAACACGAGCUGACGACAGCCAUGCAGCACCUGUCUCACAGUUCCCGAAGGCACCAAUCCAUCUCUGGAAAGUUCUGUGGAUGUCAAGACCAGGUAAGGUUCUUCGCGUUGCAUCGAAUUAAACCACAUGCUCCACCGCUUGUGCGGGCCCCCGUCAAUUCAUUUGAGUUUUAACCUUGCGGCCGUACUCCCCAGGCGGUCGAUUUAACGCGUUAGCUCCGGAAGCCACGCCUCAAGGGCACAACCUCCAAAUCGACAUCGUUUACGGCGUGGACUACCAGGGUAUCUAAUCCUGUUUGCUCCCCACGCUUUCGCACCUGAGCGUCAGUCUUUGUCCAGGGGGCCGCCUUCGCCACCGGUAUUCCUCCAGAUCUCUACGCAUUUCACCGCUACACCUGGAAUUCUACCCCCCUCUACAAGACUCUAGCCUGCCAGUUUCGAAUGCAGUUCCCAGGUUGAGCCCGGGGAUUUCACAUCCGACUUGACAGACCGCCUGCGUGCGCUUUACGCCCAGUAAUUCCGAUUAACGCUUGCACCCUCCGUAUUACCGCGGCUGCUGGCACGGAGUUAGCCGGUGCUUCUUCUGCGGGUAACGUCAAUCGAUGAGGUUAUUAACCUCACCGCCUUCCUCCCCGCUGAAAGUGCUUUACAACCCGAAGGCCUUCUUCACACACGCGGCAUGGCUGCAUCAGGCUUGCGCCCAUUGUGCAAUAUUCCCCACUGCUGCCUCCCGUAGGAGUCUGGACCGUGUCUCAGUUCCAGUGUGGCUGGUCAUCCUCUCAGACCAGCUAGGGAUCGUCGCCUAGGUGAGCCGUUACCCCACCUACUAGCUAAUCCCAUCUGGGCACAUCUGAUGGCAUGAGGCCCGAAGGUCCCCCACUUUGGUCUUGCGACAUUAUGCGGUAUUAGCUACCGUUUCCAGUAGUUAUCCCCCUCCAUCAGGCAGUUUCCCAGACAUUACUCACCCGUCCGCCGCUCGUCACCCGAGAGCAAGCUCUCUGUGCUACCGCUCGACUUGCAUGUGUUAGGCCUGCCGCCAGCGUUCAAUCUGAGCCAUGAUCAAACUCUUCAAUU
RNAcentral lists this ribosomal RNA (1544 nucleotides) under Klebsiella pneumoniae subsp. pneumoniae Kp13. RNAcentral describes it as "16S ribosomal RNA". Lineage: Bacteria; Pseudomonadati; Pseudomonadota; Gammaproteobacteria; Enterobacterales; Enterobacteriaceae. The record is from RNAcentral.